CCUACCCCUAGAUCCCUGUAUAAGGAGGCGCCCAUUUCUGGCGAAGCGCUUAGGCUUCGGAGCACAACUCCACUGAGCCCUCCAGCGUAAUUAAAGGUUUGUCUCCACCUCUUCAAGUGACUUUCGGAUUCUCAAGUCUUCGAAUUGCAGCAGCAGCGGAUGCGUAUAGCACCGAGCUCUUCACCUUUGCCACAACAGGAUGAAUCUACGUAGAUGGCUUAUUGCCUGGAUGGCCUAAGACCUAAAGAAGGAUGGGUCCGCUUCUGUUCUUCUUCAGCAAAGCUCCAGUCUUCGCCUUCACCUUGGUCGUCAUCUCCUCCUGGCUUCCAGCAUAGACGCUUCAGCUUCCAGUGCAGAUCCAUCAGCCUUUCGGAGUAGACUCUUCACACAUCCGUCGCAGACCCAUCGGCCUCCUGACACAAACUCACACAGGACACUGCAGUGAGCUCCAGAGCUUCGACUGGAUCCUUUGGUCUCCAGGGUCCAGACAGACCCUCUGCCCUCUUCCUCAUCUGACUCUGGCAUGCAGCUCCUGCUUUGGUGGGCCUUCACUUGUGGACUGUGGCUUAUGAACUGAGUGAGUUGUGGACUGUGGGCUUGUGGACUGAGCCAGCUGUCACACCAUAGACCAGAUGCUACUGCUUGCCAGAAAGCCUGGUACUUGUCGCAGAAAUGAGAGGUAGGCUCUGCUCCCAAGGAGCGCACAGAUCCAAAGUGGAAGACUUGGUGUUUGAAAUGGCUGUGGCUCCACCUGCACCCAGACUGCAGUCGCAAGGAUUCUCCACUCCAUGGCUGAUUGUGUCACUGCUAGUCGACAGCUGUCCCGCAUCCAGAGAGGACUGGGAUUGAUUUAGGUCAGUGAGUCUGGUUUCUCCUUUAAACCGUGUUCUAACUGAGGAGUGGGGAUCUGCGCCAGCCCCCGUGACCAGCCUUAAGUGGGAGCUGGGGAAUCCCACAGCGUCAAUGCGGUGAGUCGCCCAGGCCCCAGCCAGACAAACCAUGGCAAGCAUCCUCUCCUUUGUCCUAGCCUUUACUCCUGCAGGUAGAGCAGCGUGGCGUACGAAGCCCCCAAACUGUACACACGCGUGGUGGGCGACCAGCCGUGCCCCGUCAGAGGCAGUUUGGUGACCAGGCUCCGAGCAGUACCUGGUCAGCUGAAUAUGCACGCUAGAAGCCAUCGUGUACAAUCAGACUGCAUCUCGGCUCCUGGCUAAACAAAGAUUCCAGUAGUCCCAGGAACCUGCUUUGCUGACUCCUUUUAAAACCUAGUGGGAAAAGAGUCCCAACUGAUACAAUCCAGGAAGCUUUUCUGUAACCCCUUGGAGACAUUUAUAUUGUGAAGAAAAUUGAACUUCAGGAAAAGGUGCGGGUAUCUUACUGUGGAAUUUCCAGCACCAAGUCUCCAGGUUGUCCUGAAAUCACAUGCUACCAAGGACUGAGGAAUGCUAAUUCUCAACUGCAAAUACUGACUUACAGACCAUAUAGCAAAGAAUAAGCAAAGAGAGGGUUGUGGGAAAAUGGACAAAACUCUAUGAAAGAAAGUCAAUCAAAACCCUAUAUGGCUAAUACAUUUCAGUUAAUUUGAGAUAUUUAUUCAGAAGAAUAAGGCACACAUUUUAUUUUCCAUUUGCAUUUUGGAAAGAGAACCCAGUGAGGAGGUGGCUUUCAAUGCCUGUUAUAGUUUGAAUCUGAAAUGUCUCCCAGAAGUUCUCGUGUUAAAUGGUGGGUCCACAGCUGAUGGCACUGCUAUAUUAGGAGGUAGUGGAACCUUUAGGAGGUGGGGCCUCGUGGCAGGAAGUAAGGUUAUUGGGGGCGUGGUCUUAUAGGGGAUAUUGGGACCUUGGCCCCUUCCUCUCUUUUUCUUCUUCCUGGCUGCCAUGAUGGGAGUAGCUAGUUUCACCCUAUGUGACUCCUGGUCACAGGGCCAAAGUGACAGGUCCAAGUGACCAUGGACUGAUACCUUUAAAACUAUGAGCCAACAUAAAUAUUUCCUCUUCUAAGUUAUUUGUCUUGGGUAUUUGUCACAGCUAUGGAACACCAACACAAUGCCAUUGUUAGAAAUCUCUGUUCAGCUCAGAUCAGGGAAAAAUUCUCUUCCCUGGCCCUCUGAACUCUCCAUUCUGAUUUUUUACCCCACAUGCUCUUUGGCAGUCUUGUGAAGUCAGUGGAUCACUUCUCAAGAAUGUUUUUUCUGUACACCUUCAGUGCAAUAAACGGAAUUAUAAACUAAUUAUAAAUGUCUUGCUUAAGAACCUUCACCUUAGAAAA
Heterocephalus glaber (naked mole-rat) is the source of this 2268-nucleotide non-coding RNA. NCBI's taxonomy places the organism in Eukaryota, Metazoa, Chordata, Mammalia, Rodentia, Bathyergidae. The record is from RefSeq and is a predicted model, not a curated record.